RNAcentral lists this ribosomal RNA (2558 nucleotides) under Triticum aestivum (bread wheat). RNAcentral's name for it is "partial small subunit ribosomal RNA". Lineage: Eukaryota; Viridiplantae; Streptophyta; Magnoliopsida; Poales; Poaceae. The record is from RNAcentral.
GGAUAGGAUUCCACAGAUUCCCAUCGAGAUCGAGGAGGCCGCGAGACGGCACGGAUCCUCCCAGUCCCAGUCCCAGUCCCAUUCCCCCCUCGCUCGCCCCCAGGAACGGAAAACCGCGGAAUAAAAUCGUAGUCAAAGACGGACGGGGAGGACGAACAGACCGGCAGCGGAAAUCCGGCUUUCGGAAGCACGGCGCUGUCAGUCGGCCGGCCAGCCAGCCAAGGUAAGAAGAGGCGCGCGCGCGCCUAACAAGAAAUGACGAGAAAAAUUCUUUCUUUUUAAUUUCAUUUCACCAGUAGUAACAAUGAUAAGUAACUAAAAUAUCUGUCUUUGCGUCUGAUUGUUCCCCUUGCUUUGCUUUCACGUCAUUCUCCGGAGGGAGCAGGCAGACAAGCAACGCAACGCAAGGGAGCUCCGAUCCCAUCCCCUGCCCGCAGUCUCCGCUCUUCUCCCCCCUUCUCCAUUUAUUAGGACUUGUUGAUCCACUCAUCUCACCUACUAGCUCGUAGCCGGCCGCAGGGAUCAGCAUCUUCCUCUUCGCCGCUCAAGUUUCCAAGCGCCUGGCUCAGAAUCUUCAUCCCGUGGGUGGGGCUCACUCGUCCCGGCUCCAUUUCUUGCCGAUCCAGGCAGACUUUUGACAUGCGAGACUGAUGGCGGCGGCAGAAGCGAGAGCUGCUUGGCAACGGGCUGCCAACCGCUGCUUGUUUCAGGAGGAUGCAAAGAGAGCUCCAAAAUUGGCCUGCUGUCCACCGACAAUGCAACAGCAUGAAGCAAACAGCGGGAACCCCACCAGUCCGCGAGACUGCCACAUCCCGAAUUUCAUGCAUUUGAACUGGAACCCGAUGAACUCCAAUCAGCCGAUAGAUGCCUGGUUUCUUCAGCUGCAGCCCAAUUUCGGGUGCCACAAGGUGCUUUCUGGUGACCAUCUGAAUUACAUGGGCGGAGAAGCCACUGCCAAGAAAGUGGACAGUUUCUCGCCAAUCUCUACGCUUGACGACAUAAACACAAAGAAGAGUGAGUGCCCUUCUGAGCUACCAUGGAUGGUUUCGACGGCUUUUAUGAAGCAAACAUCUGAAGCACCUUGCGAAGGGUGCCCUCAAACGAGUCUCAAAUGCAGAGGAAAUCCGAAUGACUUCCUUCAUGAGGAUAAAGAGGUUAUGGACUUCAAAACUUUUGAUCCUUUGUUUCCAAAGAAACCAAAGAAGGCAUGCUAUGAGAUGGAUCCACCUUGGGAACAAGAGAGGAAGUGUCAGCCCUGGUGGCAAGUAGCUGAUGAGGAAGGACUGGCUUCGCUUGUUGCAGAAAGAGCAAUGCAGCACAUUGAGAACAAUGAUCUGCCAAAACCCACUCAGAUAGUGCGUAUUCAUGGGGCAAAAUUGAACGGUCAUGAAAACAAGGAUGGCUGUGGGAAUUCAUUAUCUUCUUCUGGUAAAGAGUCGCGGCCGCAACCACACGACACUAUGAUGUGCAGCUAUAGCCUCUCAAGCACCAAUGAGACGAAUUCAUCUGACGGUGGAGGCUGGCAACAGUCUCACAAAAAUGAUGCACAUGGGGGCACGCAGGAUUCAUAUAGUAGUGGUGAUCAUACACCAGGCAGCAAGCCCACAUAUCAGAAUCAGAAAGACGCCGAGAGGGCCCAGCUACUGGACGCUCUUCGCCAUUCGCAGACACGGGCUAGGGAAGCCGAGGUGGCUGCCAAGAAUGCUCAUGAUGAGAAAGACCAUGUCGUCAAGCUAUUGUUUCGUCAGGCCUCGCACCUCUUUGCGUGUAAGCAGUGGCUGAAAAUGCUGCAACUGGAGAACAUAUGCCUCCAGCUCACGCUGAAAGAGCAUCAGAUAGCAGCCAUGUUCCCGGAGCUUCCCUGGACGGUGAUGAAGGAGGAGAAGGCGGAGCCAGAAGAGGGGCGGAAAGGCAGGGCAAAGAAGAAAGGCAGGAGGCAGAGCAAGGAAGGUGGCUUCUGCAAGGCCAUCAUGUUUGCAGUUGGCGUAGGCAUCGUCGGCGCGGGGUUGCUCCUUGGCUGGACCUUUGGGUGGCUGCUGCCCAGGUUGUAAGUUCUUCUACCUAGCGUGCAGUUCGACGAAUAGGUGGUGGUAGGUAAAGAAAGCUCCCGAUAUCUGCUUUGUGGAGUAGGAGGAUGAAAUGAUGGAAUUCUUAGAACCACUCGUAUUUGGAAGCCUUGCUGGUGAUAUCUUUCUCUCCGCGGUCCACGCCACGCCUUCGUGUAUAUAUAGGAAGGGUUUUAGUGUACAUAUUUGCCAGAAAUGGGUAUUUCUGGCACACCUGUUGGUUCCAUGGGUGAUGGGUUGAAGGUGUAAAUAGUGUGCCUGAGUGGUGGUGGAACUCCAAAAUCAGUCGACUUCAACGGUGUGUAAGCCUGUACUGUAAGUAUGUCUGUCUUCUUGAUGUAAGAGGAGUUGUAUUAGUCGCUGGUUGGUAGCGACUACAUGUAAACCUGGGCUGUACGCCUAUAACUUGGUUCUUUGUUUAAUGUAUGUAAGCGAAGUUGUAUUACUCAGCUUGGUGUUGACUAACUGAGCACACAAUUUGGUGGCAAUUGC